This 206-nucleotide long non-coding RNA is filed under the name Gallus gallus (chicken). The record is from RNAcentral. Lineage: Eukaryota; Metazoa; Chordata; Aves; Galliformes; Phasianidae.
GGUACUGAUGAAUUUGGUGACUGCACAGUUCUGUUUGAAGGGGGUUUUGGGUGGUUCUGUUCUGCAGUGCCAUCAUCCUUUCUUGCAACAGUAUCCAGUGUGAUGUUUCCUGAACAAUCAAUAUCAGGAAGAGAGGGUAGAUUGUAGGAACUACCCACUGGAGAACUCAAAUCUAUCACAGGAGGACCGUAUGUCUUCCCAUCACA